Molecule: ribosomal RNA, 292 nt
Filed under: uncultured Alphaproteobacteria bacterium
Lineage: Bacteria; Pseudomonadati; Pseudomonadota; Alphaproteobacteria
Description: partial 16S ribosomal RNA
Source: RNAcentral
GGACUACACGGGUUUCUAAUCCUGUUUGCUCCCCACGCUUUCGCGCCUCAGCGUCAGUGUCGGUCCAGUGAGCCGCCUUCGCCACUGGUGUUCUUCCCAAUAUCUACGAAUUUCACCUCUACACUGGGAAUUCCACUCACCUCUCCCGAACUCAAGCCUCGCAGUAUCAAAAGCAAUUCCCAGGUUGAGCCCGGGGCUUUCACUUCUGACUUGCAAGGCCGCCUACGCGCCCUUUACGCCCAGUAAUUCCGAACAACGCUAGCCCCCUUCGUAUUACCGCGGCGGCUGGCAC